RNAcentral lists this transfer RNA (69 nucleotides) under Boophis madagascariensis (Madagascar bright-eyed frog). Its description in RNAcentral is "tRNA-Pro". It matches the Rfam family "tRNA". Rfam says of the family: Transfer RNA (tRNA) molecules are approximately 80 nucleotides in length. The record is from RNAcentral. Lineage: Eukaryota; Metazoa; Chordata; Amphibia; Anura; Mantellidae.
CAGGAUAUAAUUUAGUUAGAAUGUCGGCUUUGGGGGCCGAAUGUGGAGGUUAAAGUCUUUCUAUCCUGA